GAAUUUUUUUCUGAGAAGUGAUGGUGUAGGAAAAGGCACUGAAAAACUUAGCAGUCCUAGCAGGAGGACUGGAGAGGUUCUCUCUCUCUUUUUCUUUUAGUGGCUUUUCACUGUGUUGUACGUGGUGGAGAAUAAACUUUAGGGGAUGCGAUUAACAACAUGCCCAAAUGCUGAGGCAGUCAGCAUGUUUGAAUAAAUGGUUUGAACAUGGUUCUCUAGGCUGAAUUUCUGGCAGUGUAGAGGCUUGGAAGCAUCACGCAGGGGCAAGACUUCAGAGGGGAACCAGGCAAAAGAGAACUGAGUGGCCUGACCUGGCAGCCAUCUGAGAGGGUUUGAACCAACAGUAACUUCUAGACUGUAUGAUAUAUGAAAAGCAGCACACUGUUGUGGUUAGGAGUGCAGUCUCUAGAGCCAGCCUGCGUGGGUUUGAAUUCUUGCUUUUGCUUUUCUGUUUGUACAAUCUUAGGGCACAGGAAAGUCUGCAAUCUACAACCUGGAAAAAGGUUUUCACCAGACCCAACCAUGCUGGCACUUGGAUCUCAGACUUCCAGACUCCAGGACUGUGAGAAAUAAAUUCCUGUUGUUUAAAAGCCACCCAGCUCAUGGUAUUGUGUUAUAGCAGCCUGAGCUAAGACAGAAUCAACCAUUUAUUCUCUAAAAUUUCAAUUUUAGAUGGCUGAUGUUGGAAGGGAAUAAAACUGAUGGGAAAGACAGGGACAUCAGCAUCAUCUGACAAAAUGAAGAAUGAAGAGAUACUGCUAUGAUUUGAAUGUGUCCUCCGAAAUUCAUGUGUUGGAAAGUUAAUCUCCAGUCCAACUGUGUUGGGAGGUAGAGCCUUCUGAAGGGUUUAUAUUAUGAGGGUGCAGUCCUUAUGAAUUGAUUCAUGCCACCAUUAAAAGGGCUUUCAGGAGUGGGUUGGCUCCUUCUGCUUUUCUGCCAUGUGAGGACUCAGCACUCCUCCUCUCCAGAGGUGUGGCGACAAGGUGCCAUCUUUGAACCAGAGUCCAAACCUGCUAGCGUCUUGAUAUUGAACUUCCCAGCUUCCAGAACCAUGAGAAAUAAAUUUCUGUUCCUUAUACAUUACCCAGUCUGUGGUAUUUUGUUAUAGUAGCACAAAAUGUAUUAAGAUGGAGACUGUCUCUAGUUGCUGGCAUUCAUCAAAGGUGUUAGUUGCAAGCAAUGGACGGUGACUUUGACUUACUAAGUAGAAAGACUACCAGAAUUAGACUGGAAAGCUAACAAUGAGAGUUUAGCUCUAGCAGAGCUAUGAAAAAACAAGUUCAAGGCUGAUUCUAAGAAAAUACCCAAAAGCAUGUUGCAGAACAGGUCUGAUGAUAAAAAGCCUUGGUGUUUUCCACUGACCACUAGAAGAAAUGACCUCUGCUGCCCAAGCAGUUACACUUUUGUGCCAAGAACUUGAUCUUACAACACUGGGAAACCACUACUCCUAUUGUUGCUACCACCAAAAGUCUCACACCCACUGCCAUCCACACACCUGUACAAAUGGAAUUUCCAGAAGAGCCUGUUUCUUUUCCCUCAUGUUCAUGUAUGAAUGAAACUUUGCAUAGAUUGCCAGAAACGAGGUCACAUGCUUCCGUUAUAGAUGAAAUGGAAAUGGGACUUGGAGUUUGACUCAAAUUGGAGAGGAAGGAGUCACAUUAGUUUUUCCCCAAAUAUGAUACUCAAUAAGUUACUUGGAGGCAAUGACAGAUGUCUACUACAUUGCAACAAUUCAUAAAAGUAUAUUAUUUAAAGUUACAAGAAUCAUUUAAAGAGAGACUAAAAUUAUUGCAAUAUCAUUUACUCCUUCCUCCUUCUGACAGCUUGAAUCCAAUUUAUCAGGAAAUUCUGUUGGCUUUAUUUUCAAAAUAUAUUCAGCAAAUGACUCCUCAAUGCUUCUACUGCUUUCACCUUCAACCAGCUACUGUAGUCUCUGCCCUAAAUUAUUGCAAUAACUUCCUAGCUGGUCUCUCUGCUUCAUGUUUUGUCCAUUUACAGAAUAUUCAAACUCAGCAGCCAGAGAGAUCUUUCAAGAUGUAAGAAAGAUCGUGUCAUGUCUACCCUCAAAACCAUGCAAAGAUUUCACAGGCAACUUAGAGUAGAAACCUAAAGCUUUCCAAGAGCUUGCCGUGACUUCAUGGUCUGCUGCUGUCUCCUCAUCUCACCACUGUAACCUCAUCUGCUCCUUCAUUGGCUGUUCUCACCACUGUGGCCUCUUAUUGGUCAUCAGAUAAGAGUGGCAAACUUUGUCCUUUAUGUUGGUUGGUUCCUCUGGGGAAGAGCACUCUUCUCCCAUAUAGUUGCAUGGCUACUCGCUCAUACCUGCAAGAACUCUAUUUAACACCAUUCACAUGGCCUUUAGUAUUCCCAAUCUCACAUGCUGUGCUUUAUCUUUUUUCUAUAGCAUGUAUCACCCCUCUAACAUACUAUAAUUUACUUAAUUAUGAUGUUUAUUUUCUGUCUCAAGAAUGGGAAUGAUUUUGUCUUUUUUAUUAGCUGGCAUAUCCAGG
This 2510-nucleotide long non-coding RNA is filed under the name Homo sapiens (human). RNAcentral's name for it is "HSALNT0019643". Lineage: Eukaryota; Metazoa; Chordata; Mammalia; Primates; Hominidae. The record is from RNAcentral.